UGUCAACCUAGGGCGGAUUGGCUAGCUACUCGAGGUACUACCUACGUCUGCAAAGACAAGGUACGACAGGUCAGAGUUCAGAGGCUCGGAUGGGUCAGAGUUAGUCCUUAGAGGGGGACAGGUUAGCAUACCCAGCAGUUUGAUAUCAACCCUACAGGCUCGUGAAUUCGUUAGGGAAGUUAGUCAGGAGUUUUCUUGCUCUUGUUUGAGCGCAUAGCCAGGUCAGGGAACCAGCCUCAGUAUUC
This 245-nucleotide long non-coding RNA is filed under the name Manihot esculenta (cassava). RNAcentral's name for it is "long non-coding RNA (MESC_LNC012418)". Lineage: Eukaryota; Viridiplantae; Streptophyta; Magnoliopsida; Malpighiales; Euphorbiaceae. The record is from RNAcentral.